CUACGUGCCAGCAGCCGCGGUAAUACGUAGGUCCCGAGCGUUAUCCGGAAUUAUUGGGCGUAAAGGGGCACGUAGGCGGACAAAUAAGUUUGAUGUCAAAUAUGAUGGCUCAACCAUCAAGAGGCGUUGAAAACUGUUUAUCUAGAAUCUCGGAGAGGUAAGUGGAAUUCCAUGUGUAGCGGUGGAAUGCGUAGAUAUAUGGAGGAACACCAAUGGCGAAGGCAGCCUUACUGGACGAAGAUUGACGCUGAGGUGCGAAAGCGUGGGUAGCAAACAGGAUUAGAUACCCCUGGUAG
This 296-nucleotide ribosomal RNA is filed under the name uncultured bacterium. Its description in RNAcentral is "partial 16S ribosomal RNA". It matches the Rfam family "Bacterial small subunit ribosomal RNA", at positions 501 to 793 of the family's 1533-position model. The record is from RNAcentral.